AUUGAACGCUGGCGGCAUGCUUUACACAUGCAAGUCGAACGGUAACAGCACUUCGGUGGCUGACGAGUGGCGAACGGGUGAGUAAUACAUCGGAACGUGCCUAGUAGUGGGGGAUAACUACUCGAAAGAGUAGCUAAUACCGCAUGAGAUCUAAGGAUGAAAGCAGGGGACCUUCGGGCCUUGCGCUACUAGAGCGGCUGAUGGCAGAUUAGGUAGUUGGUGGGAUAAAAGCUUACCAAGCCGACGAUCUGUAGCUGGUCUGAGAGGACGACCAGCCACACUGGGACGGAGACACGGCCCAGACUCCUACGGGAGGCAGCAGUGGGGAAUUUUGGACAAUGGGCGCAAGCCUGAUCCAGCAAUGCCGCGUGCAGGAUGAAGGCCUUCGGGUUGUAAACUGCUUUUGUACGGAACGAAAAGCCCUCUUCUAAUACAGGAGGGUCAUGACGGUACCGUAAGAAUAAGCACCGGCUAAUUACGUG
RNAcentral lists this ribosomal RNA (482 nucleotides) under uncultured bacterium. RNAcentral's name for it is "partial 16S ribosomal RNA". It matches the Rfam family "Bacterial small subunit ribosomal RNA", at positions 30 to 507 of the family's 1533-position model. The record is from RNAcentral.